UAUCAAUAAGCGGAGGAAAAGAAACCAACAGGGAUUGCCUCAGUAGCGGCGAGUGAAGCGGCAAGAGCUCAGAUUUGAAAUCUCACCUAGUGUGCGAGUUGUAAAUUGCAGGUUGGAGUCUCGGGUUAGACGUGUGUGCAAGUCCCUUGGAACAGGGUGCCACUGAGGGUGAGAGCCCCGUAUCGUGCAUGUCGACACCUGUGAGGCCCUUCUGACGAGUCGAGUUGUUUGGGAAUGCAGCUCUAAGUGGGUGGUAAAUUCCAUCUAAGGCUAAAUAUUGGCGAGAGACCGAUAGCGAACAAGUACUGUGAAGGAAAGAUGAAAAGCACUUUGGAAAAGAGAGUGAAACAGCACGUGAAAUUGUUGAAAGGGAAGGGUAUUGGGCUCGACAUGGGAUUUACGCAUCGUUGCCUCUCGUGGGCGGCGCUCUGGGUUUUUCCUGGGCCAGCAUCGGUUUUCGUUGCAGGAUAAGGACAAUUGGAAUGUGGCUCCUCGGAGUGUUAUAGCCUUUUGUAGAUGCUGCGUAUGGGGACCGAGGGCUGCGGCGGACUCGUUUCGUCUCGGAUGCUGGCACAA
Molecule: ribosomal RNA, 576 nt
Filed under: Pichia kluyveri
Lineage: Eukaryota; Fungi; Ascomycota; Pichiomycetes; Pichiales; Pichiaceae
Description: eukaryotic LSU rRNA
Rfam family: Eukaryotic large subunit ribosomal RNA
Source: RNAcentral